CUUACGGAGAGUUUGAUCCUGGCUCAGGAUGAACGCUAGCGGCGUGCCUGAUACAUGCAAGUCGAACGAGGGCAUCCUUGUAGCAAUACAGGGGUGUUCCUAGUGGCGAAUGGGUGAGUAACACGUUGGUGACCUGCCCCGAAGUGAGGGACAACCCCGCGAAAGUGGGGCUAAUACCUCCUGUGAUCCCGGGAGUUAGAGCGCCCGGGAUGAAAGGCGCAAGCCGCUUCGGGAGGGGCCUGCGGCCCAUCAGCUUGUUGGCAGGGUAACGGCCUACCAAGGCGACGACGGGUAGGGGGCCUGAGAGGGUGGUCCCCCACACUGGCACUG
Non-coding RNA from Chloroflexi bacterium RBG_13_66_10, 330 nucleotides. NCBI's taxonomy places the organism in Bacteria, Bacillati, Chloroflexota. The record is from Rfam.